GAGCUGCGUGCGCGCUCUGCGUCAUGACGUCCCCUCCCCCACUGCGUGCGGCGCCGGGCUACGGGGUGCCGCAGCGGUCCUUGCAGGGUGCAGCCAGGGGCUCCGCUGUGCCGCGGCCAGCUCGUAGCUGGCUUUGGGAGAGGGGGUGCUCAGCCCGCAAGGGUCCGGGGGGGUUGGGUCUCCUGAGCGGGGGGAAUCUCCGGGAGGGGAUCUUCUUCCUUGUGGGGAGGCUGGAGCAGGAGGCUAAGAAGCGCUGCUUGGGGGCUGCAGCUCCUGAGCUGAAGGCGGCCGCUGCUCGGGGGAGCUCUGACCCAGCGGGGGAGUGGGGCCCCCGGAGAGGCGAGGCUCCAUCUCGGCUGUCACAAAGCGCUUCCCUUGGAAGGAUGAAGCCCACCACCAAGGGCUGCGCUAAAGGUGCUGCGGCCUCCAUGUGUCUACCCAAGAAGAGAUGAGAAGGAUGCGAGUGCUGCAGAAAACAGCUUUCCUCCAGCCCCAGCUGUGGCUCUUCCUCAUCAAACAGCGUGUAUACUGCUCCCUUCCCCUCCUACCCUGCUAAAUGCCUUAGCCUGGAGGGAAGGGUAUGCUCUUAUAAGGCAAGAAAGAAGGAUAUACAAAUAUGGAACAGGAACCUGUCCCUAGGGAGGUGGCACACUUCCAGGAAAAGCAACAGGCAAUUCCUACUGCAGUAACUGGCAAAGGAAACCCAUGGUGGAGGUUGCAGCAGGAAGAAACCUGGCCCAUAGCAUUGGGAAGAUUGAAGAAGCAACUGAAAUACUGGCAGUGUUAGAAGGCUGACUUCAUCACUAUCUGGAUGCUGCUUUGAGAUCAUCACCUGGGAAGAGUGCUGAAAAAACUUCACAUCACUGAGUUGUUUAAGACUGCUUCCUAUUUAUAACUUGACUCAUGAUGCAUGAGUGACAUGUUAUUCAGGCUAAAGGAAUGGUUGGUCUCUUGUACUAGCUUCUCUGCCCAUCUCUGGCAUCCCUCUUCUUAGGGAGGCAAGCAGUAGCAUUUGGGCUCAAGAAACCAGGUGCUUCCGGCCAUCAUGGGAACCUGGUACCUGCUCACACAAAACACAGCUCUGGCUGCUGGGUUUGACCAAAAAGUACCCUGGGCUCUGCAUGAGCCCAGGCCUUUAGACACAUGAGAGAGCACAUGUGCUUCAGCAUGCAGAGCCAGGCUUUCAGGAUAUUCAGCCUUAUGCACAGGUCCAUGUAUGUGCCUACCCAUCAGCCAGGCUGAUCCCAGUUACUCCCUGAUGGGGUUGCUUCUGUAGGACAGCCAAGGAGGGAGGGGCUUUAGAAGCCACACAAAUCCAGUGCUGAAACCUGGUGUAAAAUCAGGCUGGAAAGGGGAAUCUGAGACAGCACAUCCUGCUCUCAUUGGUAUAUCAGACUUGGGCUGUUCACUUGAUAUCUCACUGUUUUGCUCUUCAUUGCCAUAAACGGUGUGCUCAGCCUUCAAGCCCUUCACAGAGGGUUUAUAUCAUCCUUUGCUUAUAUAAACAAGAGGAGGAAAUGCUGGAAUCCUCCUCCAGUUAGGCAGCUGAGCAACGCUAGGAGCAGUCAAGGUGCUUUGGGUAAUUGGGUCAUUAUUUUAGCAGGUGGAGCAGUUUGAGAACGAAGUGGCAAGCUGUCUGGUUUCUACUAAAUCUGGGAAGGGGGGUGGGUUUCAGUGAGAGCAAAGGAUUGGGUGUGGGUCCCAUUGCCACUAAUGCACUGUGCGAGUGUAAAUUAGUCAUUUCAUCUCUGUCCCUCUGUUUUCCUUAUCUAUAGAAAAGUUUGUUUCCCAGGAGGAUUGUCAGCCUCAGUGUUGUGCUUCAGUAGCCUCAGGAAAGGAAGAGGCUGUUGCAAUACGAGGAGCUGCUAGAGGUCCUGUCUCUGCCACUGCUUUAACGUAUAGCCUUGAAAGAAUCUCUGGGCCCCCAUUUCCCCUACCCAUGUCAGUGGGUUGGAUUUCAGUGGGAAUUGGCUGUCUAGUUCCCUUCAUCUCCUUUGAAAAUCCAGUUAUAGAUGGCAAGCACUAAACAGUAGGAGCUGUGUGCUGCCUGUGCAAGGGGCUCUGCUCUUGCUUGACAUCUCUGGGUACUACUUUAAAAGCAAAGAAUAAAGUUUAGGUGAUCCAGGUUCAAAUGCUAGCAAUGUGUUUGGAGCUUGGCAAUGCGCGCAGAGCUGUGCCUGUACUGUCACCAUUGAAGUGAAAUGUUUUUGAGGUAAAAGGCAACCAUAGAAACGGCCAGAAAUGAAGCACAGCAACUGUAACAAGGCAAAAGUGUUACUACAUAAUUGCUUCAGCCAAGAUUGAGAUAGUGGGGAUUUAGGAUAUUAGAUGUUGUUAUCCAGGAUUGGAACUGAUAAGGACUUUAGUCUUAACAAUCCCUACUGUAAUAAAAAGCAAUGACUGCAAACGAUCCACAGUUCAUAUUUUAACUUUCAGCUGAAGCAGAGCCUCAACCAGGGUGCUGGGGCACUCUGGGGUGUUGCAAGAUCUUUUGAAGGGUGCCAGGAGGUGUGCAGAGAUAAAUGCAGGCUCAGGGUUGUACCUGCCUAGCCCCUAGGGGGGCUCAGAUUCUAAAAGUUGAGACCCAUUAAUCUAAAGCCUGACUUCUCCAGCAACAUGGCAAUGGUGGGGCCCAACUCCAAGCAAAACAGUGCCUCCCUCCUGUACUAUAUAGCAUUUGUGAUGGUGGUAGGCAGAACAGUUUACUUGAGGGAUUAGAACACCUCUUUCAUGGGUUUUGGCAUCCCUUUGUCACUCACAUUCACAACCUUAGGGUGCUGCUGGCUCCUCUGCUGCACCUGGAUCUUCAAGUAGCAGCAGUUCCAUCUGGUGAGAAGGCUGUGACCCCUUUAGAUUUGGAUCUGGCCACCCUCACCCAUAUCUUCGUAAUCUCAAUCCUAGAUUACUGCAGUGUGCCUCACAUACAGCUGCCUUUGAAGACCAUCCAGAAGCGGCAGCUGGUUCAGAAUGCAGCAAUCCACCUUCUGACGGAGGUGGGUCACCAGAAGCACAUCCAGCUCUCUGGAGUCUUAGAUGGUUACCAGUAGCUUUCCAGGCACAAUUCAAAGUGCUAUUUUUGACCCAUCCAUCCCUAAACGGGCCUGCCUUCCCUCUUACAUCCCAUCACAAUUUCUAAGAAAAGCUGAGAGCAACCUAUAGCAUGUACCAUCAGUAAUGCCAAGUCUGCUUAGUGAAAACACAUGGGAGGUUUUUUCCCAGCAGUCAUCCCUCAGCUAUGGAACUGCCUCCCACUUGAGACCCUCUAGAGCCUAGCUGGGACAUUUUUUCAGAAGUACUUUAAGACCUCCCUAUUUGGGCAGGUGUUUAGCAAAGAGAGAGAUAAACUGAAAUAUUUAUGGGGUUUGUUCUGUGUUGAUAUUCUAGUUCCUUUUUAAGCUGUUCUUUUUCUUUUGUCAUUCUCCUGUUUUAUAAGAUAUUCUGUUUUCUUAUUGUAAGAUACUGUGCAUCCUUUUUGGGAAGGUUGGCAUAUAAACUGUAUAAAUAAAUACUUCCUGCAGCACCAGUUGUUCUUCGUAAAGGCCUGUCUG
This is a long non-coding RNA of Alligator sinensis (Chinese alligator), 3548 nucleotides long. RefSeq lists it as uncharacterized. NCBI's taxonomy places the organism in Eukaryota, Metazoa, Chordata, Crocodylia, Alligatoridae. The transcript has 4 exons. The record is from RefSeq and is a predicted model, not a curated record.